UACGUAGGUCCCGAGCGUUGUCCGGAUUUAUUGGGCGUAAAGCGAGCGCAGGUGGUUUAUUAAGUCUGGUGUAAAAGGCAGUGGCUCAACCAUUGUAUGCAUUGGAAACUGGUAGACUUGAGUGCAGGAGAGGAGAGUGGAAUUCCAUGUGUAGCGGUGAAAUGCGUAGAUAUAUGGAGGAAUACCGGUGGCGAAAGCGGCUCUCUGGCCUGUAACUGACACUGAGGCUCGAAAGCGUGGGGAGCAAACAGG
This 252-nucleotide ribosomal RNA is filed under the name uncultured bacterium. Its description in RNAcentral is "partial 16S ribosomal RNA". It matches the Rfam family "Bacterial small subunit ribosomal RNA", at positions 524 to 776 of the family's 1533-position model. The record is from RNAcentral.